AUUGAACGCUGGCGGCAGGCCUUACACAUGCAAGUCGAACGAGCGGCGGACGGGUGAGUAAUAUAUCUGAAUCUGCCCGGUAGCUGGGGAUAACUACUGGAAACAGUGGCUAAUACCGCAUACUAUUGGCUCAGCCCAUAUCGGAUUAGCUAGUGGUUGGGGUAAAGGCUCACCAAGGCGACGAUCCCUAGCUGGUCUGAGAGGAUGACCAGCCACACUGGGACUGAGACCCGGCCCAGACUCCUACGGGAGGCAGCAGUGGGGAAUAUUGGACAAUGGGCGAAACCCUGAUCCAGCCAUGCCGCGUGUAUGAAGAAGGCCUUCGGGUUGUAAAGGACUUUUAGCAGGGAGGCGUUACCUGCAGAAUAAGCACCGGCUAACUACGUGCCAGCAGCCGCGGUAAUUC
RNAcentral lists this ribosomal RNA (406 nucleotides) under uncultured bacterium. RNAcentral describes it as "partial 16S ribosomal RNA". It matches the Rfam family "Bacterial small subunit ribosomal RNA", at positions 30 to 526 of the family's 1533-position model. The record is from RNAcentral.